UUUGACAACUCUAGAGAUAGAGUCUUCCCCUUCGGGGGACAAAGUGACAGGUGGUGCAUGGUUGUCGUCAGCUCGUGUCGUGAGAUGUUGGGUUAAGUCCCGCAACGAGCGCAACCCUUAAGCUUAGUUGCCAGCAUUAAGUUGGGCACUCUAAGUUGACUGCCGGUGACAAACCGGAGGAAGGUGGGGAUGACGUCAGAUCAUCAUGCCCCUUAUGAUUUGGGCUACACACGUGCUACAAUGGACAAUACAAAGGGCAGCUAAACCGCGAGGUCAUGCAAAUCCCAUAAAGUUGUUCUCAGUUCGGAUUGUAGUCUGCAACUCGACUACAUGAAGCUGGAAUCGCUAGUAAUCGUAGAUCAGCAUGCUACGGUGAAUACGUUCCCGGGUCUUGUACACACCGCCCGUCACACCACGAGAGUCUGUAACACCCGAAGCCGGUGGAGUAACCAUUUAUGGAGCUAGCCGUCGAAGGUGGGACAAAUGAUUGGGGUGAAGUCGUAGCAAGGUAGCCGUAUCGGAAGGUGCGGCUGGAUCACCUC
This 542-nucleotide ribosomal RNA is filed under the name uncultured bacterium. Its description in RNAcentral is "bacterial SSU rRNA". It matches the Rfam family "Bacterial small subunit ribosomal RNA", at positions 990 to 1529 of the family's 1533-position model. The record is from RNAcentral.